GACGAACCGUGCGAACGUUGUUCGGAAUCACUGGGCUUAAAGGGUGCGUAGGCGGCUUUGUAAGUCGGGUGUGAAAUCCCUCGGCUCAACCGAGGAAUUGCGCCCGAAACUGCUCGGCUUGAGGGAGAUAGGGGCGCGUGGAACUUCGGGUGGAGCGGUGAAAUGCGUUGAGAUCCGAAGGAACACCGGUGGCGAAGGCGACGCGCUGGGUCUCUUCUGACGCUGAGGCACGAAAGCUAGGGUAGCGAACGGG
This 253-nucleotide ribosomal RNA is filed under the name uncultured bacterium. RNAcentral's name for it is "partial 16S ribosomal RNA". It matches the Rfam family "Bacterial small subunit ribosomal RNA", at positions 524 to 776 of the family's 1533-position model. The record is from RNAcentral.